Mastomys coucha (southern multimammate mouse) is the source of this 1913-nucleotide RNA transcript. It is a transcript of the gene named interferon-inducible double-stranded RNA-dependent protein kinase activator A pseudogene, with no coding region annotated. NCBI's taxonomy places the organism in Eukaryota, Metazoa, Chordata, Mammalia, Rodentia, Muridae. The transcript has a single exon. The record is from RefSeq and is a predicted model, not a curated record.
UCUUUCAAAACAGCGUUCAAAUGUAGUGGACUCUGCACGUCAUCAGAGCCAUGGUGACUACUGUGUUCUUUCUCUGGUGAUUUGUAGGUCACUUUAGUAUCUAUUGGUUACUGCCGGACUUAAGAAUCAUCAUUCUGAAUGUGUUGUACUGAAAAGAUGCAACAGAUGCGACAUGCUCAUAGGAGGCUGGACUUCAUCGUGUCUUGGUGCUACAAGCCUUGACUUGUCUUGCUGAUUGCUAUACACUCAGAGCCUACAGCAGGGCCUGGCACUUUGUGAUGUUUUAGUAGAUUCAUCUGAAUGCGUAAGAUGCUGCUGGGGAAGGUACAUGUACUCACUCCUUCAGUACCUGGGUGGCAUGCCCCCUCUUCUUUCAACAGAUACUCUGCCUGCCAGGCCAAUCACCAGGUAGAAAGGAAAAGUCAGAUUUGACUUUGCCCAAAAGGAUGGUAAAUUCCUUGUGCCUCAGGGUGUGGAACUUAGGGGUACCAUGAAUGAGACAAGACACCGCCUAACAUCUGAAGUUCUUACCAUACCCAGGGCAGUGAAUUAAAUGUCUGACAUUCACCAAUCAGUAUUACAACAACCCGAUCAAGUAGAUGUCGUCGUUACUUUCAUUCUACAGUUUCGGGCACUGGGGCACAGAGAAGUGACCUGCCCAAAGACACUUAGGGAGUCUGGCUAAAACGGUACCCACUCCAUUGUGCUUCCUCUGUACAGUCAGCAGCACCGGAAGAGAAACCCGCACCUGGUGGAUGCCGAGAGGCCUCCACGGUAGACGUAUGUAAGGGAAAUUUUGCAAGUUAUGGAACUUGAGGCUCAAUAAAAAUAAACUGUUCCUCUUUUCUAUGGGGGGAAAUGAAGAGUUUAUUUAGAAAUAAGUUCCUGAGGCAAGUAGCGAUCCGAGGGGCAUCCAAGCGGCAGCGCGGGCAUGCUCCUCUUGGGAACUGACCGACAUGGAGAGGGAGGACCCAGAUCUGCACUUCUCUCGAUUGCUGUGGCCAGCCGUCCCUUCUUGCCAUGUCCCAUAGCAGGCAUCGUGCCGAGGCCCGGCCGCUGCAGCGCGAGGACAGCGGGACCUUCAGUUUGGGAAAGAUGAUAACAGCUAAGCCUGGGAAAACACCGAUUCAGGUAUGGCAUGAAUACGGCAUGAAGACCAAGAACACUCCAGUGUAUGAAUGUGAACGAUCCAAUGUGCAAGUACACGUGCCCACUUUCACCUUCAGAGUAACCUUUGGUGACAUAACUUGCACAGGUGAAGAUACGAGUAGGAAGCUGGCGAAGCACAGAGCUGCAGAGGCCGCCAUAAACAUUUUGAAAGCCAAUGCAAGUAUUUGCUUUGCAGUUCCUGACCCCUUAAUGCCUGAUCCAUCCAAACAGCCAAAGAACCAGCUGAAUCCAAUUGGCUCAUUACAGGAAUUAGCAAUUCACCAUGGCUGGCGACUUCCUGAAUAUACCCUUUCCCAGGAAGGAGGACCCGCUCAUAAGAGAGAAUAUACCACAAUUUGCAGGCUCGAGUCAUUCAUGGAAACUGGGAAGGGGGCAUCAAAAAAACAAGCCAAGAGAAAUGCUGCUGAGAAAUUUCUCACCAAGUUUAGUAAUAUUUCUCCAGAGAACCACAUUUCUCUAACGAACGUGGUCGGACACUCCCUACGGUGUACUUGGCACUUCUUGAGGAAUUCCCCUGGUGAAAAGAUCAACCUCCUGAAAAGGAGCCUCCUCAGUCUCCCGAACACAGACUACAUCCAGCUGCUUAGUGAGAUUGCCAGCGAGCAAGGCUUUAACAUAACAUAUUUGGAUAUAGGUUAAUUGUGGAUGGAUGGCCAAGCCUCAGUUGGAUGUACCAGAACCCCAGAUUUUGACCCAAAAUCCUGAUAAUAAUGACAGUGAACAUUUGACCUACAACCUCAGUA